AAGGCGGAACUUCUCGUGGGUCAACCUUAUAUAGUUGAACCAUGUCAAUCAGUUUCCCCAUUAAGUGAUCAUGAAACAAGGCGGCUCGCUUGAAGCGGGUUGGUAGUCGCAGCAGUACGCCGCGUGCGGGGCGCCACCUAGCAUCGCAGCUGCGGCCCAGCGGACGCCUGUGGCUGCUCGACAAUGUCUGGGUCAUCUAUCCCAUUUUCGUAACAAUACAAAUGACUUGGGAGCUAAGAGCAACGCGAACAAACUAUACGGGAGGCUGGAAGCGAUGAGGAUUAUUUUAUCGAACUUCAUCAAGCUGACAAUGGUGGGCAACAUGGCCUCGUCGACACUAAAACACCACGUGAGGAAAACAUCCUCAGCGACUUCCAGUCAAGUUUCUUUAGUAAAUGACACCAGAGAAAAAGAACUCAUGUAGUCGUCGUCCGGUGACGACAAGAAUGGAGAUUUAGAUUCGUUGAAAAGUCAAGAAUCCUAGCUCGUGGCUCCCAAAUGUCGGGAAAUUUAAUCCUGAUGUUAAUGAAAAUGACCAUAAGUUUUUAAGCUUUUCCCCAGAACAUCAGCCUAUCAAUAAUCUUCAUAGAAUCAUUCACUCAAAUGCUGCGACCGAAUUAACUUCAAAUGAUCUUGUUAAUCUUUCAGUUUCUAUGCUCCAGAGCGCUGAAUUAGGGGACACUUUAAUAAAUAAUUUCCCAGCUGACAUACCACCAUCAAUCAAUAGGACUGGCUUUAAAAUGAGUGUCUAAAAUUUCUGCAACGAAUCAAAAAAUCAAAACACUUCGUGAUAACGAGUUUGACAUUUCUUAUGAAAAAUUGAAAAAUCGUUUUCUGAAUUUAUUCCAAGAUGGCGGCUGGGAUGUGACAAAAUCCCCCAUACUGAUGACGGGUCCUCAGGUUCUAGUUACUGAACUGUACGACGUGAGCAAUUAUGUUACGGUAAAAGAGAUUAUGAAUGUCUUUUAUCUCACAGACUUUUAUAUUCAAAAAGAUUUAUUACAAGAGAAACCGAAAUUCAAAUGUUGGACUUGACAGCGAAGAAAGAAUUAGCUGUCAGGCUGGUCUUUGAUCAAGAAAUUACACCCACCUUUUGAAUACGAGGAAAACUCCUCAAGUGGCCAGCUUCUGAAAAUAAUUCGAUGUUUUUUUUUCUCUGUCUUAACUUGGAAUUACUGCAAGGGUAAGGAAGCAAAUCAAACAAUAUUUAGCAGUGGAUGAAGUCAAAAGUUACAUGGAAUGACUCAUUACAUCGGGCCCUCUUUAUGCAAGUGCGCUUGCCUAUUUACUGGACGUCAUCUCAGACACAGAUCUCGGGCAGAGAACAAGAAGAUCACAAAUCCUUCAGUUCGCUAAAAGAGUUCAUUCAGGUGCUGUCGAGAGCGUCGGAAACUACGGAGGCUAUGAAAGUAGUGAUUACGGCUACGAUGGUGGCUACGGUGAUGGAGGUGGUGGCUACGGUUACAUGCAACCAUCAUACCACCACAUGGAUCCGUAUCUGCUGUUGGCCGGCCUUGGGGCGGCCACCCUUCUCGCCUACAUCGCAUACAGGGUCUUAGCGACCACCAGCGCGACGAGUAGAGGCCUCGCGGCUAAAGUGCUUCCUACUGAAGAUGCAACGUUUAUACAUUCGGUUUUAUCUGCCAUUGAGCAAUCUGGAGAGAUCCAUGACGACUUGCUGGGGAUGCGAGAAUAACUAUUAAAGUUUUUCAACGAUGUCAGUCGCAUGCGUUCAGCAUCAACGCGGAAUCAUUUUAAUGUUGCAAGAUGCAUUUCGUGCGAUUUCUCCCAUUUUUCUGUUUUGUAACUUCAUAGCGACAAGUCAUGAAGUUAUAAGUUAUCGAUCAAUUUUUGAAUGGUUUUCAUUGAGCUGAUAAGUAGUAUAGUUUUAUAUUAUUUUUUGAACUAUACUUUAA
Molecule: long non-coding RNA, 1916 nt
Organism: Hyalella azteca
Lineage: Eukaryota; Metazoa; Arthropoda; Malacostraca; Amphipoda; Hyalellidae
Exons: 3
Source: RefSeq, a predicted model, not a curated record